RNAcentral lists this ribosomal RNA (492 nucleotides) under uncultured soil bacterium. RNAcentral describes it as "bacterial SSU rRNA". It matches the Rfam family "Bacterial small subunit ribosomal RNA", at positions 26 to 517 of the family's 1533-position model. The record is from RNAcentral.
AGAUUGAACGCUGGCGGCAUGCUUUACACAUGCAAGUCGAACGGUAACAGGCCGCAAGGUGCUGACGAGUGGCGAACGGGUGAGUAAUGCAUCGGAACGUGCCCAGUCGUGGGGGAUAACGCAGCGAAAGCUGUGCUAAUACCGCAUACGAUCUAUGGAUGAAAGCGGGGGACCGAAAGGCCUCGCGCGAUUGGAGCGGCCGAUGUCAGAUUAGCUAGUUGGUGGGGUAAAGGCCCACCAAGGCGACGAUCUGUAGCUGGUCUGAGAGGACGACCAGCCACACUGGAACUGAGACACGGUCCAGACUCCUACGGGAGGCAGCAGUGGGGAAUUUUGGACAAUGGGCGCAAGCCUGAUCCAGCAAUGCCGCGUGCAAGGAAGAAGGCCUUCGGUUGUAAACUGCUUUGUACGGAACGAAACGGUCUGGUUAAUACCUCGGCUAAUGACGGUACCGUAAGAAUAGGACACCGCUAACUACGUGCCAGCAGACCG